CCAGUGCCCCAACACUUCUGCCACUGCCCAGUGCCCCAACACUUCCGCCACUGCCAAAACUGUCGUCCAGUGCCGCCACAAAAUGGAAAAACUCCGCAAAUACUACCGCACCGAAAUCCAAUGUCUCCGCUCCCUCCCUCUCCCUCGCCUCAUCAAUAACUCCAUCACCACUUCACCCUCCUCCUGGGUUCACUUUAAAUCCAUGGAUUCCAUGGAAGAAGGCCCCAACAAACCCCACACCAACACCACCUUCUGAAAAUAAAGGUAUAAGCUUUUUGCUAGUUUUUAUUGGAAUCUCAUGUUAAUAUCUUCAUAUCAUUCAUUUCACUAAGUUAACUUUUGUGCUUCUGGUUGUUGAUUCGCUCCAUGAUUGCAAAAGUGAAGUUAUUAGACCUUUGGCUUACAUCAUGCAUGCAUCAUAUGUGCCCGAAAAUGUACACAGCAGGGUCCAAUUUUAAGACAGUUCCCUUUUCAUCAAAUUGGUUCAACACCCUCUAUGAAAGCAUAGUUUAAAAUUUUCCAUCAAGAAUGCAAGUUCCGCUUUUACUUUCUUGUCUUUUCUCUUUCAUUUUCUAAAUACUAGUACUAAGACAAAGCAGCUGUUAAUAAAAUGCAAAGAGAGGAAUGAACAUGUUUUUUUUUUGGAUUAUGAAAAGGAUGAAUGAAAAAUGAGAGAGAGAUUUAUGGGAGAUGAAAAAGAUUAUGGUGAAAGUAGAUUGCAAUGAAUCUGUCAUUUGGGUCAGCCUUUAAACAAGGGAGAUUGAGAGCAUGCGAUUGGAGAUGGAGAUGAAGCGCACUGUUGCCAAAAACUUUCCUUAUUUUCAUGACCAUGCUUCUAAGGU
This is a non-coding RNA of Vigna umbellata (rice bean), 842 nucleotides long. Lineage: Eukaryota; Viridiplantae; Streptophyta; Magnoliopsida; Fabales; Fabaceae. The record is from RefSeq and is a predicted model, not a curated record.